Molecule: ribosomal RNA, 452 nt
Filed under: uncultured bacterium
Lineage: Bacteria
Description: partial 16S ribosomal RNA
Rfam family: Bacterial small subunit ribosomal RNA
Source: RNAcentral
GAUGAACGCUGGCGGCGUGCCUAACACAUGCAAGUCGAGCGAUUCUCUUCGGAGAAGAGCGGCGGACGGGUGAGUAACGCGUGGGUAACCUGCCCUGUACACACGGAUAACAUACCGAAAGGUAUGCUAAUACGAGAUAAUAUGCUUUUAUCGCAUGGUAGAAGUAUCAAAGCUUUUGCGGUACGGGAUGGACCCGCGUCUGAUUAGCUAGUUGGUAAGGUAACGGCUUACCAAGGCGACGAUCAGUAGCCGACCUGAGAGGGUGAUCGGCCACAUUGGAGCUGAGACACGGUCCAAACUCCUACGGGAGGCAGCAGUGGGGAAUAUUGCACAAUGGGCGAAAGGCUGAUGCAGCAACGCCGCGUGAGCGAUGAAGGCCUUCGGGUCGUAAAGUUCUGUCCUCAAGGAAGAUAAUGACGGUACUUGAGGAGGAAGCCCCGGCUAACUACGUG